This 499-nucleotide ribosomal RNA is filed under the name uncultured Glomeromycotina. RNAcentral's name for it is "partial small subunit ribosomal RNA". It matches the Rfam family "Eukaryotic small subunit ribosomal RNA", at positions 591 to 1092 of the family's 1831-position model. Lineage: Eukaryota; Fungi; Glomeromycota. The record is from RNAcentral.
CCAAUAGCGUAUAUUAAAGUUGCUGCAGUUAAAAAGCUCGUAGUUGAAUUUCGGGACCAAUAUGUCGGUCGUGCCUCGGUACGUACUGGCAUCGUUGGUUUCUCCUUUCUGAAGAACCAUGAUGUCAUUUAUUUGGUGUCGUGGGGAAUCAGGACUGUUACUUUGAAAAAAUUAGAGUGUUUAAAGCAGGCUCACGCUUGAAUACAUUAGCAUGGAAUAAUGAAAUAGGACGUUUGAUUCUAUUUUGUUGGUUUCUAGGAUCGACGUAAUGAUUAAUAGGGAUAGUUGGGGGCAUUAGUAUUCAAUUGUCAGAGGUGAAAUUCUUGGAUUUAUUGAAGACUAACUACUGCGAAGGCAUUUGCCAAGGAUGUUUUCAUUAAUCAAGAACGAAAGUUAGGGGAUCGAAGACGAUCAGAUACCGUCGUAGUCUUAACCAUAAACUAUGCCGACUAGGGAUCGGAUGAUGUUAAUUUUUUAAUGACUCAUUCAGCGCCUUACG